CCUACGGGAGGCAGCAGUGGGGAAUAUUGGGCAAUGGGCGCAAGCCUGACCCAGCAACGCCGCGUGAGGGAAGAAAGCUUUCUGGUUGGUACCUUCUUUUGUCAGGGACGCAGCAAGUGACGGUACCUGACGAAUAAGACACGGCUAACUACGUGCCAGCAGCAGCGGUAAUACGUAGGUGGGAAGCUGUAUCCGGGUUUACUGGGUGUAAGGGACGUGUAGGCGGCGAAGCAAGGGAGAUUGGAAAACCACGGGCUCAACCUGUGGCCUGCAUUUGAAACUGUUUUUCUUGAGUGCUGGAGAGGCAAUCGGAAUUCCGUGUGUAGCGGUGAAAUGCGUAGAUAUACGGAGGAACACCAGUGGCGAAGGCGGAUUGCUGGACAGUAACUGACGCUGAGGCGCGAAAGCGUGGGGAGCAAACAGGAUUAGAUACCCCUGUAGUC
This 443-nucleotide ribosomal RNA is filed under the name uncultured bacterium. RNAcentral's name for it is "partial 16S ribosomal RNA". It matches the Rfam family "Bacterial small subunit ribosomal RNA", at positions 338 to 795 of the family's 1533-position model. The record is from RNAcentral.